This 110-nucleotide transfer-messenger RNA is filed under the name Actinomycetota bacterium. Its description in RNAcentral is "Actinobacteria bacterium partial transfer-messenger RNA". It matches the Rfam family "transfer-messenger RNA", at positions 263 to 374 of the family's 374-position model. Rfam says of the family: Bacterial tmRNA, also known as 10Sa RNA or SsrA, is named for its dual tRNA and mRNA-like properties. Its role is to liberate the mRNA from a stalled ribosome. The record is from RNAcentral. Lineage: Bacteria; Bacillati; Actinomycetota.
CUACUUGUGCAUGUGAGAGUUUGGACUGAGAAAGCGUUAAUUGCACUACGCCCGUAGAAACUUUGAAGCAGUGCUAGAGGACCCGGGUUCGAUUCCCGGCACCUCCACUU